This 56-nucleotide transfer RNA is filed under the name Phenacoccus manihoti (cassava mealybug). RNAcentral's name for it is "tRNA-Val". The record is from RNAcentral. Lineage: Eukaryota; Metazoa; Arthropoda; Insecta; Hemiptera; Pseudococcidae.
UCACCAUUACCCCCAAAUUGCAUGGUAAUGGUGAACAACCAUCAGGUAAUGGUGAA